GAUGAACGCUGGCGGCGUGCCUAAUACAUGCAAGUCGAGCGAACGGACGAGAAGCUUGCUUCUCUGAUGUUAGCGGCGGACGGGUGAGUAACGCGUGGAUAACCUACCUAUAAGACUGGGAUAACUUCGGGAAACCGUAGCUAAUACCGGAUAAUAUUUUGAACCGCAUGGUUCAAAAGUGAAAGACGGUCUUGCUGUCACUUAUAGAUGGAUCCGCGCUGCAUUAGCUAGUUGGUAAGGUAACGGCUUACCAAGGCAACGAUGCAUAGCCGACCUGAGAGGGUGAUCGGCCACACUGGAACUGAGACACGGUCCAGACUCCUACGGGAGGCAGCAGUAGGGAAUCUUCCGCAAUGGGCGAAAGCCUGACGGAGCAACGCCGCGUGGGUGAUGAAGGUCUUCGGAUCGUAAAACUCUGUUAUUAGGGAAGAACAUAUGUGUAAGUAACUGUGCACAUCUUGACGGUACCUAAUCAGAAAGCCACGGCUAACUACGUG
RNAcentral lists this ribosomal RNA (497 nucleotides) under uncultured bacterium. Its description in RNAcentral is "partial 16S ribosomal RNA". It matches the Rfam family "Bacterial small subunit ribosomal RNA", at positions 28 to 507 of the family's 1533-position model. The record is from RNAcentral.